AAAUUGUCCAGGUUUCCUUAUCGCUCAUGAAACUCUUUUAUAUCCAUCCUACAGAGAGAUGACUCAUGGCCCAGGUGAAAUUCAGGUCCAAGCUCUGGAGAGUGUGUGGGGACUGGUGAAAAGACAUGGUUUUAUUGUUAUCUGUUUAGUUCCUGCUGCGGAAGAUGAGACUCUCGCUCUCUUUGUCAUUUCCCCACAUGCACAGAAACACACAUAUUUCUACUUUUCUCAUCCUCUCAACAGGCUAUCAUAACUUUGGUUAAAUCAAUAGUCAGUGUUUGUAUAUUAUUAUUGGAUAAAUAUUACUUACAGUGGAACCCAUUUUGUGUAUGAUUAGAUAUUCUUUCUUGUAGAACUUUAUGUUUAUCCAGGAGUUAAUACUUAUCUGAUUAUUUUCAGUUGCUUAAUGUCCUAUACACCUGUUAUUAAUUUAUGCUGA
Molecule: long non-coding RNA, 439 nt
Filed under: Homo sapiens (human)
Lineage: Eukaryota; Metazoa; Chordata; Mammalia; Primates; Hominidae
Description: HSALNT0250433
Source: RNAcentral